UUAAACUCAGCCGACGGUGUACGU
Molecule: non-coding RNA, 24 nt
Filed under: Arabidopsis thaliana (thale cress)
Lineage: Eukaryota; Viridiplantae; Streptophyta; Magnoliopsida; Brassicales; Brassicaceae
Source: RNAcentral